AGAGUUAAAUAGUACGUGAAAUUGUUGAAAGGGAAACGAUUAAAGUCAGUCAUGUUGGUAGGGAAUCAACUUGAUGGUAUGCGGGUUUACUCGUGUCCUUUCUGGUGCACUUCCUUACUUGCAGGUUAGCAUCAAUUUCGAUUAUCAUAUAAAAAUUAAGGGAAGGUGGCUUUUCUUCGGAAAAGUGUUAUAGACCUUAGUAAAUGUGGUGAUCGGGAUUGAGGAUUGCAGCGGAUACCCUUUCGGGCUAGUCACCUGGCUUCUGAUGGUCAACCCGUCUUCGAUAGCUUGCUAACGUUGGUGGGAUCUGAUUGUCUAGAUGUUGGAUUGAUCAUAAAUUCGCUAAGGAUGCUGACGUAAUGGCUUUAAACGACC
This 375-nucleotide ribosomal RNA is filed under the name Acaulospora morrowiae. RNAcentral's name for it is "partial large subunit ribosomal RNA". Lineage: Eukaryota; Fungi; Glomeromycota; Glomeromycetes; Diversisporales; Acaulosporaceae. The record is from RNAcentral.